This 479-nucleotide ribosomal RNA is filed under the name uncultured bacterium. RNAcentral's name for it is "bacterial SSU rRNA". It matches the Rfam family "Bacterial small subunit ribosomal RNA", at positions 29 to 487 of the family's 1533-position model. The record is from RNAcentral.
AACGAACGCUGGCGGCGGGGUUUAGGCAUGCAAGUCGAGCGAGAAAGGGGCAACCCGAGUAAAGCGGCGUAAGGGUGAGUAAUAGGUAGUUUACGUAUCUUUCAGACGCGGAUAAUUUCCCGAAAGGGAUUGUAAUACGCGAUGAGACCACGCGGCAUCCGUGCUGUGGGGCCAAAGGUUCGGGAUCCUUCGGGACCGAGCGCUGGAUGAGCGGACGACCUCCGAUUAGCUAGAUGGCGGGGUAACGGCCCACCAUGGCGAUGAUCGGUAGCCGGCCUGAGAGGGUGUCCGGCCACACUGGGACUGAGACACUGCCCAGACUCCUACGGGAGGCUGCAGUCGCGAAUCAUUCACAAUGGGCGCAAGCCUGAUGAUGCCACGCCGCGUGCGGGAUGAAGGCCCUUUUGGGUUGUAAACCGCUGUCAAGGAAGGGGAAACGCACGUCGCGAAUAGCGCCGUGUUUGACUGCUUUCUAAAGG